CAGACCGGCAAAAGAGCAGAACACUCCAGACACCUACGCAAGAGAAGCCACCUGAGAAACUGCACUGAAGAAAGAAAAGGAGUACUUGUGGCACCUUAGAGACUAACCAAUUUAUUUGAGCAUAAGCUUUCAUGAGCUACAGCUCACUUCAUAGCUGCUUGAAAGCCAGCAACUGUAACAGCAGCAGCCGUCCACCCCAAGACUCCCAGGUUGCCUUGGCAAUAGCUGGUUUUGGCACCCCUCCUGCAAGAGGCCUCCAUGGCAGCCCAGCAGGGCUACCAUCUCCACCUGAGGCUCUGUUUUACCUCCGGCUGAAACAGAAGUGAACAGCCCAGCUGCCAACAGCCCACCUAGGGACAACACUCUCAAAAAGACUCGUCAGAGAAGGAAGGACCAUUUGUGAUGAUUCAGAGGGAAUUUAAAGACGCUUCUGGAUUGGCUCGUUUUUGGCUUGUUUUGAAACGUAGUGCAGCUUUAUUAUCUUGUGAGACUUGGCUUACUCAUUGGAGUGAGAGGAAGGUGCACUGGAGUGAAA
Chelonia mydas (Green sea turtle) is the source of this 535-nucleotide long non-coding RNA. RefSeq lists it as uncharacterized. NCBI's taxonomy places the organism in Eukaryota, Metazoa, Chordata, Testudines, Cheloniidae. The record is from RefSeq and is a predicted model, not a curated record. The transcript has 2 exons.